AAGCAGUGAUCCGAAGCCCCAGUGAACGGCGGCCGUAACUAUAACGGUCCUAAGGUAGCGAAAUUCCUUGUCAGGUAAGUUCUGACCCGCACGAAAGGUGUAACGAUUUGGGCGCUGUCUCGGCAGCAGACUCGGUGAAAUCUUAGUACCUGUGAAAAUGCAGGUUACCCGCAACUAGACGGAAAGACCCCAUGGAGCUUUACUGCAGCCUGAUAUUGAAUUCUGGUCAUACAUGUACAGGAUAGGUGGGAGACAAAGAGACGUGCACGCCAGUGUACGAGGAGUCGACGUUGGGAUACCACUCUUGUGUGACCGGGGUUCUAACCUGGUAUCGAGAACAGGUACGGGGAGAGUGUCAGGUGGGCAGUUUGACUGGGGCGGUCGCCUCCCAAAGAGUAACGGAGGCGCCCAAAGGUACGCUCAGAUUGGAUGGAAACCAAUCGACGAGUGCAAUUGCAGAAGCGUGCUUGACUGUGAGACUUACAAGUCGAACAGGGACGAAAGUCGGGAAUAGUGAUCCGGCGGUGCCGAAUGGAAGGGCCGUCGCUCAACGGAUAAAAGCUACCCUGGGGAUAACAGGCUGAUCUCGCCCAAGAGUUCACAUCGACGGCGAGGUUUGGCACCUCGAUGUCGGCUCAUCGCAUCCUGGAGCUGGAUUCGGUUCCAAGGGUUGGGCUGUCCGCCCAUUAAAGCGGUACGCGAGCUGGGUUCAGAACGUCGUGAGACAGUUCGGUCCCUAUCUGUUGUGGGCGAAGGAGAUCUGCGGAGAGCUGUCCUCAGUACGAGAGGACCGGGAUGGACCUACCGCUGGUGCACCGGUUGUUCCGCCAGGGGCAUAGCCGGGUAGCUAAGUAGGGAAAGGAUAAGCGCUGAAAGCAUCUAAGCACGAAGCCUACUCCAAGAUGAGAUCUCCCAUUCGCAAGAAGUAAGACCCCUUAAAGACGAUAAGGUAGAUAGGCCAGGGAUGGAAGUGCAGUGAUGUACGGAGUUGACUGGUACUAAUCGGUCGAGGACUUAAUCAG
Molecule: ribosomal RNA, 1022 nt
Filed under: Holdemanella biformis DSM 3989
Lineage: Bacteria; Bacillati; Bacillota; Erysipelotrichia; Erysipelotrichales; Erysipelotrichaceae
Description: bacterial LSU rRNA
Rfam family: Bacterial large subunit ribosomal RNA
Source: RNAcentral